CCUACGGGAGGCAGCAGUGAGGAAUAUUGGUCAAUGGACGAGAGUCUGAACCAGCCAAGUAGCGUGAAGGAUGACUGCCCUAUGGGUUGUAAACUUCUUUUAUAUGGGAAUAAAACGUUCCACGUGUGGGAUUUUGUAUGUACCAUAUGAAUAAGGAUCGGCUAACUCCGUGCCAGCAGCCGCGGUAAUACGGAGGAGCCGAGCGUUAUCCGGAUUUAUUGGGUUUAAAGGGAGCGUAGGUGGAUUGUUAAGUCAGUUGUGAAAGUUUGCGGCUCAACCGUAAAAUUGCAGUUGAAACUGGCAGUCUUGAGUACAGUAGAGGUGGGCGGAAUUCGUGGUGUAGCGGUGAAAUGCGUAGAUAUCACGAAGAACUCCGAUUGCGAAGGCAGUUCACUGGACUGCAACUGACACUGAGGCUCGAAAGUGUGGGUAUCAAACAGGAUUAGAUACCCUUGUAGUC
RNAcentral lists this ribosomal RNA (460 nucleotides) under uncultured bacterium. Its description in RNAcentral is "partial 16S ribosomal RNA". It matches the Rfam family "Bacterial small subunit ribosomal RNA", at positions 338 to 795 of the family's 1533-position model. The record is from RNAcentral.